RNAcentral lists this non-coding RNA (175 nucleotides) under Pontibacillus chungwhensis. Its description in RNAcentral is "Lysine sequence". It matches the Rfam family "Lysine riboswitch aptamer". From Rfam's summary of the family: Riboswitches are metabolite binding domains within certain messenger RNAs that serve as precision sensors for their corresponding targets. The record is from RNAcentral. RNAcentral also lists the same sequence under 1 other name. Lineage: Bacteria; Bacillati; Bacillota; Bacilli; Caryophanales; Bacillaceae.
UCUGACAAUAGAGGCGCGAGUAUGAUGAGUAGCUUUCCGGAGGACAAUGGGUCCAGCGAAGGAAAGGGAAAGGCAGAUCGCCGAGAUAGAGAAUAGCCAUUCUAUUCUUUGUUGGGCUGGUAUUGAACAAAUGCCAGACUGUCGCAAUGCGAAGUUGUGGAGCACUAUUGAAGAG